Molecule: non-coding RNA, 28 nt
Filed under: Homo sapiens (human)
Lineage: Eukaryota; Metazoa; Chordata; Mammalia; Primates; Hominidae
Source: RNAcentral
UNCUGCUCUGCAGGUACAAGUGUGCAAG